AAGGAGAAUGAGAGAAGCAAAAACCUACCCAAAAUUGUUUUCCUUUUAGUUUUCGUUUUGUCUAUUUCUCCAUGUACGUACUUUCCACUUUCUUCCCACCAUCCUUCCUCGCUUUUGAUUGUCCUUAUUUUCUUUCUUGUAUUUCUCAUUUGUUCCAAACAAAAUUGAAAAUUAUAUAUACUAAAACUCAGUUUGAAGUCACUGUUCAUUAACAGUGAUUUGACGAAAUUGUCCCUCAUUUGCUACCUAAUUCUCAGCCUUUUUCCUCUGUUAUACAGUGAAAUCACGUAUUUACCCCCAUUGUACGCGUGUUGGUUAUCGUGGAAGGAAAUGAGGCUGGAUGUACGCGUGUUAGCCAUUUGGGAGGGGAAGCAAGUGUUGGGGAUGGUGCAAGCAUCUUCUUCUCUCUCUCAGAUCUCUCGAGCUCUCUCGAACGUUUCAAUAACUUUUCCAUUUGCUUCCCUUUUAUCUCAACCUGAAACCAAAAAAUCCCAAAAACCCUCGAGCCCUCCAACAAAAUCAGAAAAAAACACCAUCUUCGCCCAAAAUUUUGAAUUUUCUCAAGAAUUCUCGCAUUUUCCUGAGAUUUUUUUCUAUGGGCUUUGGUAGCAGAUGAAGAUCGAUGACAGUGAUCGGAGUUCGUCACAUGACAUUGUGCUUGGCAACGAACAAUUUGAUCACAUCCUGAGUUUUCCGACUAAUUUAUUCAAUCGGAUCGGUUCUGAUUUUGUCCCUCCAUAGCAUCUGCAGCACUAUCUGCCUUGCUUUCGUCACAGCUUGGCUUUCGGUUCCUCAGGGGGAAUGGUGGAUGUGAGAGUUUCUUUUACAGCAGUUCAAAGGGAGAGCUUGAGAGACAGUGGACUCUUCCCCUAUUCCUCCACAAUCGCUUUUACCAAUUUCCAAGAACACAUUAAAUUCCCUCAAAAUAUAAGCCGAGGUAUGGAAAAGCUUCGAAUUCCUUGGUUUCCUCCAAUUAGUAUGCAGAACUCUCAAAAAAGAAAGUAGUGAGGGUUGAAUUUCUACUCUCAUAUAUACACAGAUAGAUAUGGAAAAGCUUAGAAUGGUGAAGUGAGGGUUCAAUGACUUAUUACUCAUUUUGGUCUAUUUAAAUAAAGUUCUCUGAUUGGUUUGAUUUGUGUUGUGUACAUUUACUUCUUGGGUAUAUUUGUGUUUUUGGACUUAUUUGUUUCUGUAUCGGUUUCUGACAGAAUGGAUAGGGUGCCAAAAAGAGAGGUGGCAUUAGGAAUAAUGGCUUUUUUGAGAGAAUUAGAGUUUGAUCUCUUCAUUUGGGUUGUGCAUAUUUCGUUUGAUCUCUUACUUUUGGUUGUGCAGAUUUCAUUUGAAUUAAUUUGGGUUGUG
This is a non-coding RNA of Malus domestica (apple), 1359 nucleotides long. Lineage: Eukaryota; Viridiplantae; Streptophyta; Magnoliopsida; Rosales; Rosaceae. The record is from RefSeq and is a predicted model, not a curated record.